RNAcentral lists this long non-coding RNA (229 nucleotides) under Capsicum annuum. RNAcentral's name for it is "long non-coding RNA (CANN_LNC000689)". The record is from RNAcentral. Lineage: Eukaryota; Viridiplantae; Streptophyta; Magnoliopsida; Solanales; Solanaceae.
UGGACCUUCGUGAAUUGGAAAGGAAUGAAGAAAAAGAAAAAAUGAGCAAAAUAGAUGAGUUGACCUCUGUUGCAGCGGAAGAGGCAAAAGAAAAAGAAAGAAGGAUGAAGAAGAAGAAAUGAAAGAAGACAAGAGCCAAGAAGAAAGUAUAAAAGAAGCAGCUGCAGCUGAAGAAGAAAAAGUUGAAAAAGAAACAGUAGCAGUUGAAAAAGGAGGCAAGGAAAAGGAG